GAGAACAACUCUCAACAACGGAUAUCUUGGCUCUUGCAACGAUGAAGAACGCAGCGAAAUGCGAUACGUAGUGUGAAUUGCAGAAUUCCGUGAAUCAUCGAAUGUUUGAACGCAAAUUGCGCCCGAGGUUUCGAUCGAGGGCAUGUCUGCUUGAGCGCC
This 159-nucleotide ribosomal RNA is filed under the name Actinotaenium cruciferum. RNAcentral's name for it is "5.8S ribosomal RNA". It matches the Rfam family "5.8S ribosomal RNA". Rfam says of the family: 5.8S ribosomal RNA (5.8S rRNA) is a component of the large subunit of the eukaryotic ribosome. It is transcribed by RNA polymerase I as part of the 45S precursor that also contains 18S and 28S rRNA. Lineage: Eukaryota; Viridiplantae; Streptophyta; Zygnematophyceae; Desmidiales; Desmidiaceae. The record is from RNAcentral.